AGAUUGACUAAGUGUGCAGGAUAUACAAGUUGAUACUUUCACUGGUUUUUAUUGUGUGCGUUGCCGCCAUCAAUGCCAGAGGUGAUGAGGUGGAUGAGGCCCUCUACGACACGGAUGACAACCUGUCGACGGGCCUAGUGUUCCUACGUGACUGCAAGAGACGCAAAUUGGUGAAAUACGCCCGGAAAUGCGAUCUAACGGUCACCAGAAGAGGGAAAUGGUACAUCGUCAGUGACCCCGACACUGACAAGCGAAUCACGGCCAUCCCGCGCAAAGUCAAAAACAAUCGUUUGUGCCGGAGAAUCAUCAACCGUCUGACCGCUGGCUGUGAAGGAGGUAUAACAACCACUGAACCUUCUAUUCCCCAGCCAUCCGCAUACUACGGCGAAACAGAAUACUACAAACAGAACGAAACAUCUGAAAACGAUGCGACGGCACAAUUGUACGAGACCUACCAAUACAAAGAUUACUAAGGAAUUCAAUAUUUAAAAAGCCUCGCUCUGGGAAAACGGGGCUUAAUGCAUAUGCAUAUGCUAAUCAGGGACGUCAAUUUCCGACUAUAAUUAGUUUUUGGUAAAAAAAGAAACUUUAUUGACACGAAACGCCCCAUGUACGCGGAAAGUAUCGGCCCUGAUAAGCUUUUGCAGACUGCACUGGCUUAUUUGGGAUGACAGUUUACGCAAAUGCAUUAAACACCGAUUCUCCAGGGCAAGUCUCAAACGAAGAUGAUCUAUUGAAAAGCACGAUACAGUUGAAUAUCAUGAGAUAGUAUUAUAGUUGCUAGUGUUCUUUCGUUUUUUCUAAAACUGCCUUACUCGAUUAAAAAAUACGCCUCAUAUACGUCUUUGCAAGAUGAACAAUGUUAUUUUAAUAAUUAAGCAAGCUGUUGACUUACCAUUCUUUUGUUAGAAUACAUUUCAAAGCAUCGGAAAAUCGUGAUACAAUGUAUAAACAAAUCCUUAUACAGAGUGUAAGUAAAUAUAUACAUAAAGUGUAUGUUAAAACUGCUGUAAGUUUGUAUAUGUUUACCAGUAUAAUGAUUACCGUUAAAAGAAAACAUUACUUUUAGGUUUUCUAUAAAUGUUGAGUUUCUCUCCGGGAAACUUGGUUUCAUGAAUGUGUGUUAAGUGUCCCAUUUCGCAAAGGCUAAUGAAGGACGACACAUUUAUGCUUUUUUCGUUUAAAGGAAGUCUCAUCUUUCCGAACAUAUAGUUAAGGCUGAAAGUAUCGUCCCUAUAUAACCUGUGCAGAUGCACACGCUAAUGUGGAACUAUACUUUACGAACGCUUAUUUGAGUCGUGUUCAGUGCAAUCCGCACAGCCUUAUCAGGGACGACACUUUCCUCUUUCAUGUCAUUUUUUUUAAAUGAAGUCCUUUCUUAGCAAAAAUCCAAUUCAGGCGGAAAGUGUCGACCCUGAUUAGCCUGUGCGGACUACACAGGCUAAUCUGGGACGACACUUUACGCACAUGCAUUAUGCACAGUUUUCUCAGAACGCGACUCAUUAGACCACCCUUCCCAGAGCGAGGCUUACAUACUUACACGUUCCACAGAUGUAGAAAUGUUUUAUUUUACCAAUAUUGGUUACAUAAACGUUCCACAGAUCAUGUAGAAAUGUUAUAUUUUACCAAUAUCGGUUACAUAAACGUUCCACAGAUCAUGUAGAAAUGUUAUAUUUUACCAAUAUCGGUUACAUAAACGUUCCACAGAUGUAGAAAUGUUAUAUUUUACCAAUAUUGGUUACAUAAUAUACAUCCUGGCAUUGUGUUUUUAAGUCAGAUAAAACAUUAACUGUUGUCUUAAUCCACAAUUAAAACGAAAUCGAUUUUUUAUAGUAUUAAUUGAUGAAUCAUCAAACACGUUAUUUAUUAUAUAUUUUCAAUGGAAACGCUGUCAUAAAACCAGUUGAUAUAUGCGUGUAUAUAUUGAAACUAGCCAAUAGUAUUUAAGAUAAACACACAUCUUAAAUGUAUAUUUAUGUUGAAUUUGUCCGAGUCAUGUGUUCUUUUAUGUUUGCGACUAGACAAUUUCAACUCGGAGUUUUCUCAAGGUCAUUAUCAGAUAAGAAAUGUAUUGUAUAACGUGUUCCCUCCGUCGACUUUAAAACGAAUGCCAACAUGACCUGCUACAUAUACGCGCGUGUAAAUACACACCGGUAUAUAUAUAUAUAUGAGUCGUGCUUUGUGAAAAGGGGGUUAAAUGCAUGUGAGUAAAGUGUCGUCCCAGAUUAGCCUGUGCAGUCAGCAAAGGCUAAUCAGGAACGACACUUUCCGCCUGAACUGGAUUUUUGCUAAAUAAAUACUUUCUUUAAACGAAAAAUACCAUACAUGCGGAAAGUGUCGUCCCUGAUUAGCCUGGGACGGCACUUAACGCACAUGCAUUAAACUCCUUUUCCAAAGAUCACGACACACGCCUUUUCCUACGCCAUAUCAUACUCGUCUGAUAUCACAGUCAUCAACCAUAUAUUCUCUAUGUCACUAACAUUAGUUGAGAUGCGGUCUGCGAUAACGGGGCUUAAUGAAUGAAGGGAAUUGUAGUUAUAAUUGUGUGAAUAUGGCUCAUGACUUCACAAUGUUUUUGCGUGUACGAUAUGUCAUCAAAAUAUUUGUGAAAUCAUAAUAUGAGCCGCGUUCUGAGAAAACUGGGCAUAAUGCGUGUGCGAAAAGUGUCGUCCCAGAUAAGUCUGUGCAGUCCGCACAGGAUAAUCAGGUACGACAAUUUUCUCUUUUUAUUGUAUUUUUCGUUUAAAGAAAGUAUCUUAUUUACUAAAAUACAGUUAAGGCGGCCUGUAGUUUCCCAGCUAAGCCUGUGCGAACUUGGCAGACUAAUUUCGGAUCACACUCACGCACAUGCAUUAAGACCAGUUUUCCCAGAACGAGUCUCAAAUCAUUUUCGAUUAACUCCAGUGGAACUCCCAGAAAAAAAAUUCAAAUACUUUACACAUUUUAAGUAUUUACCACAAUUUGUGUUUCUUUUCUGAUUUCAAUGCGUAUGUUUUAUAUUUUUGUCAGCAAGAUAUGCAUCACUGGGGAUUCAAACCACUUGACAACUGUAUGGACAAUUUUUGAAGCACAUUUGAUUUCUAACAGCUUUUUCGUCUCGAAUUUCGGACUGUCAAGUGGAUAGUUUUGCAAAACAUCCGAAAAAGAAAUUGACAUUAAAAUCAAAGCCUUUGAAGUGUUUUGUCGGUGUUUUUUAUGAACAUGCAAACAUUGAUUGGCAAAUCGUCAUAUGUAUGAUUAACAAUGCUAUCAUACACAUAUGCAUAAGCCAUUUUGCUAAAUUCAACAACAUGUUUUAAAAUGUGAUAAG
Molecule: long non-coding RNA, 3310 nt
Organism: Dreissena polymorpha
Lineage: Eukaryota; Metazoa; Mollusca; Bivalvia; Myida; Dreissenidae
Exons: 3
Source: RefSeq, a predicted model, not a curated record